UUGGUCCAGAAGAAAAGGUCCAAUGCCGCUAACUCUGGGAAUAGUUAAUGCACGCUCCACAUUGCAAAACAUAAUUUCCCCUCUUCUCCCCCCGCAGGUACGGCUGGAAGCCCAAUAAGUUCGCUGGGAAGCGGCCGUUCCGCGGAGCCGGCGGAGGCAGGGCUUCCUGCAUGGCCGGGCAGCGGCUCCCCCCAGCCCGCCCGGCGGCGGCGGCGGGCAGGGCCGGCGGGCAGGGCCGCCGCCGGGCGCAGGGCAGGGCUGCGCCGUCCUGCGGGUUCGCCGGCAGCGGCUGGGACGGCGGCGGCAGUGCUGCCCCUGGCAGGGAGCGACUUGCCCGCCCCGCUGCCCCCCGGCCCUUCCCGGGAGGGGAGAGAGGGAGACCGGCGAGUGCUGGAGAGCCCUGGCUGGAGCUGGGUGAAGGGCUGCAACAGGUUUCAUUGCAAAGAAGCCCCAGAAACUGAAGGCUUUAUUCUUUCUUACUCAAGAAGAAAAUACCUGUUCAAGUCAGCAAGUAGUUUGAUUGAAUGAGGGCAGUGAAACUAGUCCAUAGUGGGAAUUUUUUAAAAAGCAAGCAUCAAUCCAUUGUGACUCGUGCACACACAGCAGAGGAAGAACAGAACCUACCGCAGCCUGUGAGCAGCAAGAAACUGCAGCUGGAUGACUGCAUAAGGGGUUUGCAAGACCGCCAGUAAUUUUUUAUAUUCAGAGUUAAAUAGAGCAAUAAGAUGGAAUUUAAGCUUUAGUGCAAUGGAUUGAGGCUCUUCAGUCAAUCAAAUUAUAGUUCAAUCAGUUCAUUUUAAUCACUUCUCUGGAGAGAAGUAAACCCCUAUGUUGAAGAAUAUGCAGCAAUUUUAUUGAUGGAAAGUUUAAUUGUUUCAUUUUUCCUUACCGUCUGUAACACACUAGACUUUUAAUCAGUGGGAACUGAAGUUAUAAUGAAGUAAAGUCCACUUUCCACAGUUCACAACUAGCUGAAAAUAAUUGGGUUGAGACUCCCAUCCAGACAGUGUAAUGCCUCUGGCAUUUUCCUGAAAACUACACUUAAUUGCUUUGCUGAUGUUGUUAAGUGGUCCUGAGGGGGUUGAAGUAGUAAAGCUGCCCACAUAUGCAGGGAAACAAUACACAAAAAAUGUCUUACAAGGUCCUUAAAGGAGGACCAACUAGUGACUAGAAGACAGUGUAUGGCUUUUUUUUUUCCUUUUCUAUACCAGAGAGAACACACAGGAGAGGCUGAUAAAAUAAACUGUGGAAAUUCUAUAAACACUAGCAGUAUUUUUAUUUAAGGGCAGAAAGCUUGGGACUGGAAGUGCAGAAAACACCAAGGCGCUCCUUUUGCAAUCAAACCGGCAACUUAAGGUGAGCCCAGCUCGGCAUUUUUGUGCCGAACGCCAGUUAGCGUGCUGCCUUCUCUUCAGCACCGUGGGCUGAGGACCAGGUGUACUCCUGUCCCCACGGAGGGAGGGCAGCUCGCUCUCCGUGCUCUGAAGUGACAGGAUGUGAGCCAGCCAGGAGCUGAAAGUCCAGGCCUCAGUGGGACCAGCGAGCGCACCCCAUUAGGCUCUAAACCAGAGAAGGAAUAACACUUUGGAAUUUCUCCUUAUUUAAUACAUUCAUGGGAAACCCUCCUCAGUUGAGUGGUGUUUGUUUAAAGUGAUGAAGUAACUGCUAGGCUCAGGGAUAUUCUGAUGCAGAAAUAAAUAUGUUAGUUAUCUAAUAAAGAAAAAUAUUUAUUUAGGACACGUGAAUUAGGUAGUGCCAAUGAACUUGAAUUCAGGGUUGGAACCUGGAGCUGUUCUGGGGAAGGAGGGACAAUAAGGCUAAUUUAGCUUUGAGCAAGUGGGUCCCAUCCCACCCCCCGUUUAUUUACAUAUGCAGGCCCAGUAGAGUCUCUCUCUCAACAGCCUGACCUUCCUCAGCUGGUAUCUCUCUAAACUUCGCAGUGGCCUUUGCUUAUUUUAUUCUUGCUUUCUCAGGCUCUGAGCUGAACAACCACCCCCUGAUGACCUUCUCGAAAGGAACACAGACAAAAUUUAGGCACUGAAA
Molecule: long non-coding RNA, 2043 nt
Organism: Chroicocephalus ridibundus (black-headed gull)
Lineage: Eukaryota; Metazoa; Chordata; Aves; Charadriiformes; Laridae
Exons: 3
Source: RefSeq, a predicted model, not a curated record